GAUGAAGAACGCAGCGAAAUGCGAUAAGUAGUGUGAAUUGCAGAAUUCAGUGAAUUAUCGAAUCUUUGAACGCACAUUGCGCCCCUUGGUAUCCCGAGGGGCAUGCCUGUUCGAGCGUCAUUUCACCACUCAAGCCUGGCUUGGUGUUGGGCGACGUCCUCUUUGGGGACGCGCCUCGAAACGCUCGGCGGCGUGGCACCGGCUUUAAGCGUAGCAGAAUCUUUCGCUUUGGAAGUCGGGGCCCCGUCUGCCGGAAGACCUGCUCGCAAGGUUGACCUCGGAUCAGGCAGGGAUACCCGCUGAACUUAAGCAUAUCAAUAAGCGGAGGA
Molecule: unclassified non-coding RNA, 329 nt
Filed under: soil metagenome
Description: partial contains 5.8S ribosomal RNA, internal transcribed spacer 2, and large subunit ribosomal RNA
Rfam family: 5.8S ribosomal RNA (bases 1-120)
Source: RNAcentral